CAGUCGCCGCGGGAAUACGUAGGUGGCAAGCGUUGUCCCGAAUUAUUGGGCGUAAAGGGCUCGCAGGCGGUUUCUUAAGUCUGAUGCGAAAGCCCCCGGCUCAACCGGGGAGGGUCAUUGGAAACUGGGAAACUUGAGUGCAGAAGAGGAGAGUGGAAUUCCACGUGUAGUGGUGAAAUGCGUAGAGAUGUGGAGGAACACCAGUGGCGAAGGCGACUCUCUGGUCUGUAACUGACGCUGAGGAGCGAAAGCGUGGGGAGCGAACAGGAUUAGAUACCCCAGUAGUCCCUGUCUCUUAUAC
Molecule: ribosomal RNA, 301 nt
Filed under: uncultured bacterium
Lineage: Bacteria
Description: partial 16S ribosomal RNA
Rfam family: Bacterial small subunit ribosomal RNA
Source: RNAcentral